GUAGGUCCCGAGCGUUGUCCGGAUUUAUUGGGCGUAAAGCGAGCGCAGGCGGUUAGAUAAGUCUGAAGUUAAAGGCUGUGGCUUAACCAUAGUACGCUUUGGAAACUGUUUAACUUGAGUGCAAGAGGGGAGAGUGGAAUUCCAUGUGUAGCGGUGAAAUGCGCAGAUAUAUGGAGGAACACCGGUGGCGAAAGCGGCUCUCUGGCUUGUAACUGACGCUGAGGCUCGAAAGCGUGGGGAGCAAACAGGAUUAGAUACCCUGGUAGUCCACGCCGUAAACGAUGAGUGCUAGGUGUUAGACCCCUUUCCGGGGUUUAGUGCCGCAGCUAACGCAUUAAGCACUCCGCCUGGGGAGUACGACCGCAAGGUUG
This 371-nucleotide ribosomal RNA is filed under the name uncultured organism. RNAcentral's name for it is "partial 16S ribosomal RNA". It matches the Rfam family "Bacterial small subunit ribosomal RNA", at positions 527 to 896 of the family's 1533-position model. The record is from RNAcentral.